CCCUUAGAUGUUCUGGGCCGCACGCGCGCUACACUGAUGCAUUCAACGAGUCUAAAACCUGCUCUGAUAGGGCUGGGUAAUCUUUUGAAUGUGCAUCGUGAUUGGGAUAGAUGAUUGCAAUUUUUCAUCUUCAACGAGGAAUGCCUAGUAAACGCAAGUCAUCAGCUUGCAUUGAUUACGUCCCUGCCCUUUGUACACACCGCCCGUCGCUCCUACCGAUUGAAUGAUCCGAUGAAUAUCAUGGAUUGAGGAUGCAAGCAGGUUCGCCUGUCUUCAUCUUCGAGAAGUGAAGUAAAUCUUAUCAUUUAGAGGAAGGAGAAGUCGUAACA
RNAcentral lists this ribosomal RNA (329 nucleotides) under uncultured eukaryote. RNAcentral's name for it is "partial 18S ribosomal RNA". It matches the Rfam family "Eukaryotic small subunit ribosomal RNA", at positions 1470 to 1796 of the family's 1831-position model. The record is from RNAcentral.